AGCGAACGCUGGCGGCAGGCCUAACACAUGCAAGUCGAACGGAUCCUUCGGGAUUAGUGGCGGACGGGUGAGUAACACGUGGGAACGUGCCCUUUGGUUCGGAACAACUCAGGGGAAACUUGAGCUAAUACCGGAUGUGCCCUUCGGGGGAAAGAUUUAUCGCCAUUGGAGCGGCCCGCGUCUGAUUAGCUAGUUGGUGAGGUAAAGGCUCACCAAGGCGACGAUCAGUAGCUGGUCUGAGAGGAUGAUCAGCCACACUGGGACUGAGACACGGCCCAGACUCCUACGGGAGGCAGCAGUGGGGAAUAUUGCGCAAUGGGCGAAAGCCUGACGCAGCGACGCCGCGUGGGUGAUGAAGGCCUUGGUCGUAAGACCUCGUCGCC
RNAcentral lists this ribosomal RNA (383 nucleotides) under uncultured bacterium. RNAcentral describes it as "bacterial SSU rRNA". It matches the Rfam family "Bacterial small subunit ribosomal RNA", at positions 29 to 440 of the family's 1533-position model. The record is from RNAcentral.